RNAcentral lists this ribosomal RNA (778 nucleotides) under Polystigma pusillum. Its description in RNAcentral is "partial 28S ribosomal RNA". It matches the Rfam family "Eukaryotic large subunit ribosomal RNA", at positions 1 to 712 of the family's 3401-position model. Lineage: Eukaryota; Fungi; Ascomycota; Sordariomycetes; Phyllachorales; Phyllachoraceae. The record is from RNAcentral.
GGUCAUCCCGCUCUGAAAAAACGGGGGGCCUAUGAUAUUCCCUUUUGGGGGGGGGGGGGGGGGUCCCGUCUUGAAAAAACGGACCCCCUGGCAUUAUCAAAUAAGCGGAAGGAGAGAGAGAACCAACAGGGGGUUGCCCCUAGUAACGGGCGGGUGRAAGACCGCAUAUCAGCAAGCGUUUUGAAAUCGGGGCCCGAGGCCUGACCACAAGUUGUUAAUUUGCAGGAGGAUGCUUCAGGCGGAGGUGCCUCCCCGAGUUCCCUGGAAACGGGGCGCCAAAGAGGGUGAGGAGCCCCGUACGGUUGGACACCAAGCUCAUGUGAAGCUCCCCUCGACGAGUCGAGCAGUUUGGGAAUGCUGCUCUAAGUGGGAGGUACAUUCCUUCUAAAGCUAAAUAUUGGCCAGAGACCGAUAGCGCACAAGUAGAGUGAUCGAAAGAUGAAAAGCACUUUGAAAAGAGAGUCAAAUAGCACGUGAAAUUGUUGAAAGGGAAGCGCCCGUGGCCAGACUUGCCCCUGCCCAUCCCUUGUGCCCCACAAGGUACAAGGACCAAUGGGUAGAAGGCCAGGCCAGCGCCGGUUUCCACCGAGGGAUAAAGCCGUCAGGAAUGUGGCCCUCUUCACGGGGGGUGUUAUAGCCUGAUGGCAUACCUUGGAAGGGACCCGUCUGAGGUCUGAACGCUCUGCAAGGACGCUGGCGUAAUGCCCACCGGCGACCCGUCUUGAACCACGGACCCCCUGCUUUUCAUAAACGGCAGGAAAAAGGCCCCCGUCUUGAA